RNAcentral lists this ribosomal RNA (468 nucleotides) under uncultured bacterium. Its description in RNAcentral is "partial 16S ribosomal RNA". It matches the Rfam family "Bacterial small subunit ribosomal RNA", at positions 28 to 507 of the family's 1533-position model. The record is from RNAcentral.
GACGAACGCUGGCGGCGUGCUUAACACAUGCAAGUCGAACGGAAAGGCCCUGCUUUUGUGGGGUGCUCGAGUGGCGAACGGGUGAGUAACACGUGAGUAACCUGCCUUUGACUUUGGGAUAACUUCAGGAAACUGGGGCUAAUACCGGAUAGGAGCUCCUGCUGCAUGGUGGGGGUUGGAAAGUUUCGGCGGUUGGGGAUGGACUCGCGGCUUAUCAGCUUGUUGGUGGGGUAGUGGCUUACCAAGGCUUUGACGGGUAGCCGGCCUGAGAGGGUGACCGGCCACAUUGGGACUGAGAUACGGCCCAGACUCCUACGGGAGGCAGCAGUGGGGAAUAUUGCACAAUGGGCGGAAGCCUGAUGCAGCAACGCCGCGUGCGGGAUGACGGCCUUCGGGUUGUAAACCGCUUUCGCCUGUUACGAAGCGUGAGUGACGGUAAUGGGUAAAGAAGCACCGGCUAACUACGUG